ACAUCCAGAGAAUUUAGCAGAGAUGCUUUAGUGCCUUCGGGAACUCUGAGACAGUGCUGCAUGGCUGUCGUCAGCUCGUGUUGUGAAAUGUUGGGUUAAGUCCCGCAACGAGCGCAACCCUUAUCCUUGUUGCCAGCACGUAAUGGUGGGAACUCAAAGGAGACUGCCGGUGAUAAACCGGAGGAAGGUGGGGAUGACGUCAAGUCAUCAUGGCCCUUACGAGUAGGGCUACACACGUGCUACAAUGGCGCAUACAAAGAGAAGCGACCUCGCGAGAGCAAGCGGACCUCAUAAAGUGCGUCGUAGUCCGGAUUGGAGUCUGCAACUCGACUCCAUGAAGUCGGAAUCGCUAGUAAUCGUAAAUCAGAAUGUUACGGUGAAUACGUUCCCGGGCCUUGUACACACCGCCCGUCACACCAUGGGAGUGGGUUGCAAAAGAAGUAGAUAGCUUAACCUUCGGGAGGGCGUUUACCACUUUGUGAUUCAUGACUGGGGUGAAGUCGUAACAAGGUAAGCGUAGUGCU
RNAcentral lists this ribosomal RNA (524 nucleotides) under uncultured bacterium. RNAcentral describes it as "bacterial SSU rRNA". It matches the Rfam family "Bacterial small subunit ribosomal RNA", at positions 984 to 1509 of the family's 1533-position model. The record is from RNAcentral.